AAAGAACAGAAAUUUUAAGAAGAUUUCAAUUACUGACAUAAAAUACUAAAACAUGAAUAUUAUUACACCACAACUAUUUUAAACUUGAUUAAAAAAAAUUAAACAUCAGGGAAAAUAAUAAAUAAACUUCAUCAAACAUUGAGGUUGAAGAACAUUUAAUAUUGAGAAAAAUACCAAAAUUCAAAUCAAAGCUACUGUUUUUUCGAAAAAGAAAAAAAGGAUAUAAAUAAAAUAAAAUAAAAAAUAAAAAUCAGAAAAAUGAAGAAGAAUAUUCGGGCAUUACAGGCAGCAGAAAUAUGAGUAAUUGAAUUUAAUUUUAAGCUGCAAAGCGGAUCCCAAUUUCAAUAUCUGCACAAUUAAAAAAUAGGCUUCCGCAGAAAUUUACUUUCCACAGAGCCUCAGUACUAUGCAUUUUCUUCUCUUGUUAUAAUUAGUACACAAUUAUACAUACAUUAUACAUACAACGUAAAAGAUGGAAUACAGAGUGAGUUUAUGUGGUCGGAGGUAGGCGGAAGGAA
RNAcentral lists this long non-coding RNA (518 nucleotides) under Erythranthe guttata (spotted monkey flower). RNAcentral describes it as "long non-coding RNA (EGUT_LNC000202)". Lineage: Eukaryota; Viridiplantae; Streptophyta; Magnoliopsida; Lamiales; Phrymaceae. The record is from RNAcentral.